AGCCCUGUAGUUUAUUAAAAAUGGCGAAUUGCAGAUUCGAAGAAAGAGAAGAUCUCAGGGUGU
Molecule: transfer RNA, 63 nt
Filed under: Pseudocardium sachalinense (Sakhalin surf clam)
Lineage: Eukaryota; Metazoa; Mollusca; Bivalvia; Venerida; Mactridae
Description: tRNA-Cys
Source: RNAcentral